This 253-nucleotide ribosomal RNA is filed under the name uncultured bacterium. Its description in RNAcentral is "partial 16S ribosomal RNA". It matches the Rfam family "Bacterial small subunit ribosomal RNA", at positions 524 to 776 of the family's 1533-position model. The record is from RNAcentral.
UACGAAGGGGGCUAGCGUUGCUCGGAAUGACUGGGCGUAAAGGGCGCGUAGGCGGACGGCUUUGUCGGGCGUGAAAUUCCAGGGCUUAACCUUGGGGCUGCGUUCGAGACGGGUUGUCUAGAGUUUGGAAGAGGGUCGUGGAAUUCCCAGUGUAGAGGUGAAAUUCGUAGAUAUUGGGAAGAACACCAAAGGCGAAGGCAGUGUCCUGGGGAGUACCUGACGCUCAGGUGCGAAAGCCAGGGGAGCGAACGGG